AGCUGAUCGAUUUAAGAAGGCUACAUCAUGUGUGCUAAAGAAUUCUUUGGUGAUACCAGGAGAUGAAAUGACUACGGUUGUAUUGCUUGCGAGCUUAAGUGACAUUAAAGGACCAUAACGUUUAGAUAAUAUGGCAAGUGAUUGGUGGGGUUUGUCACCGAAUUCUAAGAGGUUUCCGAUGAUAGGAAAACCUUUUGGUCCCGGAGGUAACCGGGAGUUGCGCCGGCUGGAAAUAAUGAAGGCGUACAUGAUCAAUGGUAAAAGACAAGAUACUACGAGGAAGAAGGAUUGGUACUCCAUUGUUUUGUGUGGCUGUCCUUU
Molecule: long non-coding RNA, 321 nt
Filed under: Lactuca sativa (garden lettuce)
Lineage: Eukaryota; Viridiplantae; Streptophyta; Magnoliopsida; Asterales; Asteraceae
Description: long non-coding RNA (LSAT_LNC001583)
Source: RNAcentral